GACGAACGCUGGCGGCGUGCUUAACACAUGCAAGUCGAACGGAAAGGCCUUUUCGGAGGUACUCGAGUGGCGAACGGGUGAGUAACACGUGGGUGAUCUGCCCUGCACUCUGGGAUAAGCCUGGGAAACUGGGUCUAAUACCGGAUAGGACCGCACUUUAGUGUGUGUGGUGGAAAGUUUUUUCGGUGUAGGAUGAGCCCGCGGCCUAUCCGCUUGUUGGUGGGGUAAUGGCCUACCAAGGCGGCGACGGGUAGCCGGACUGAGAGGUUGGUCGGCCACAUUGGGACUGAGAUACGGCCCAGACGCCUACGGGAGGCAGCAGUGGGGAAUAUUGCACAAUGGGCGCAAGCCUGAUGCAGCGACGCCGCGUGGGGGAUGACGGCCUUCGGGUUGUAAACUCCUUUCGCCAGGGACGAAGCGUUUUGUGACGGUACCUGGAGAAGAAGCACCGGCUAACUACGUG
Molecule: ribosomal RNA, 463 nt
Filed under: uncultured bacterium
Lineage: Bacteria
Description: partial 16S ribosomal RNA
Rfam family: Bacterial small subunit ribosomal RNA
Source: RNAcentral